CCUACGGGUGGCAGCAGUGGGGAAUAUUGGGCAAUGGAGGCAACUCUGACCCAGCAACGCCGCGUGAAUGAUGAAGGUCUUCGGAUUGUAAAGUUCUGUGAUGGGGGAUGAAAACAAUGACGGUACCACAAUAGCAAGCCACGGCUAACUACGUGCAAGCAGCCGCGGUAAUACGUCGGUGGCAAGCGUUCUCCGGACUGACUGGGCGUAAAGGGUGCGUAGGUGGGUUAGUAAGUUGGCGGCGCAAUUCCGGGGCUCAACCUCGGCGCUACCGCGAAAACUAUUAGACUAGAGUGCAGGGGAGGUAAGUGGAAUUCCUAGUGUAGCGGUGGAAUGCGUAGAUAUUAGGAGGAACAUCAGGGGCGAAGGCGACUUACUGGACUGUAACUGACACUGAGGCACGAAAGCGUGGGGAGCAAACAGGAUUAGAUACCCGGGUAGUC
This 443-nucleotide ribosomal RNA is filed under the name uncultured bacterium. RNAcentral describes it as "partial 16S ribosomal RNA". It matches the Rfam family "Bacterial small subunit ribosomal RNA", at positions 338 to 795 of the family's 1533-position model. The record is from RNAcentral.